GGUGGCGCACGCCUGUAGUCCCAGC
RNAcentral lists this non-coding RNA (25 nucleotides) under Gallus gallus (chicken). RNAcentral also lists the same sequence under 2 other names. Lineage: Eukaryota; Metazoa; Chordata; Aves; Galliformes; Phasianidae. The record is from RNAcentral.